CUAAUGGCCACAAAUUAGCUGCCUGACCUGGACCUUGCCUGACCUUGCUCCUACCCUGUUCCUUUAUUCUUCCCUUCCCCUAAUCCAAGUCCUUAACUCCAGCAGGAUAUACAGGCCUCCCUAUCUCUAGCAUGGUCUCACCGGCUGCUUCCCCUAACAAGAAUGUUCUCCCUUCAGACACCUCUACCAAAUCCUACCUCAUCUAUGGGAGCUGCCAUCCCCACUUGGCUGUUUUUACCACUCCUUUUAGCCCUUCACCAUAUGCUGCCUUGUAACUAAACUGUAAGCCUUUGAAAGAGGCAGAUCCUACAGCAUUUAAUAAUUCUAGCCAUUGGGCAAGGCACUUUUUGGAGCCUCACUUUCUCAAGCCUAUAAAAAAGGUGGAGGCGGCCAUAUGACUAUGACCAGGGCUUUUGAGUCAGAUGGCCUCAACUGGUAUCCCAGCUCUUCCACUUACUAGUUGUGUGCUUUGGGAAAGAACGGUCGCUAAAGGUAAAUUGGAAAAUGCAGAAAUGGAAAGGAGAAAAGAGCGCACCACCCAAAAUCCUUAUCCUUCGGCUGGGCGCGGUGGCUUACACCUGUGCACUUUGGGAGGCCGAGGUGGGAGGAUUGAUCGCUUGAGCCCAGGAGUUUGAGACCAUCCUGGGCAAUGUAGAGAAACCCUGUUUCUACAAAAAAUAAUUUUAAAAAAUUUAUCCUUCACACAAACU
RNAcentral lists this long non-coding RNA (710 nucleotides) under Homo sapiens (human). RNAcentral describes it as "HSALNT0194254". Lineage: Eukaryota; Metazoa; Chordata; Mammalia; Primates; Hominidae. The record is from RNAcentral.